Molecule: small nucleolar RNA, 138 nt
Organism: Tachyglossus aculeatus (Australian echidna)
Lineage: Eukaryota; Metazoa; Chordata; Mammalia; Monotremata; Tachyglossidae
Source: RefSeq, a predicted model, not a curated record
UGCCCCUCUGGGUCAUACCUGAAGAGUUUCCAGUACUCUACCAGUUUCGACUAUGGGAGGGAGAGUCAAUCAGAGGAAUACCCAUUCCAUUCCUUGCUUGGGCAGUGGCUAGUGAGUGGAAGGCAAUCUGCUACAAGU